Molecule: ribosomal RNA, 332 nt
Filed under: uncultured Pseudomonadota bacterium
Lineage: Bacteria; Pseudomonadati; Pseudomonadota
Description: bacterial SSU rRNA
Rfam family: Bacterial small subunit ribosomal RNA
Source: RNAcentral
CAUGUAGGCGGUUCCGUAAGUCGGAUGUGAAAGCCCUCGGCUUAACCGAGGAAGUGCAUUCGAUACUGCAGAACUAGAGUACCGGAGAGGGUCGUGGAAUUCCUGGUGUAGAGGUGAAAUUCGUAGAUAUCAGGAGGAACACCGGCGGCGAAGGCGGCGACCUGGACGGAUACUGACGCUCAGAUGCGAAAGCGUGGGUAGCAAACAGGAUUAGAUACCCUGGUAGUCCACGCUGUAAACGAUGGGUACUAGGUGUCGCGGGUAUUGACCCCUGCGGUGCCGAAGCUAACGCAUUAAGUACCCCGCCUGGGGACUACGGCCGCAAGGCUAAA